This 253-nucleotide ribosomal RNA is filed under the name uncultured bacterium. Its description in RNAcentral is "partial 16S ribosomal RNA". It matches the Rfam family "Bacterial small subunit ribosomal RNA", at positions 524 to 776 of the family's 1533-position model. The record is from RNAcentral.
UACGGAGGGUGCGAGCGUUAUCCGGAAUUACUGGGUUUAAAGGGUGCGUAGGCGGAACUUUAAGUCAGUGGUGAAAGCUCUCGGCUCAACCGAGAAAUUGCCAUUGAAACUGAUUUUCUUGAAUACAGUUGAGGUAGAUGGAAUAUAACAUGUAGCGGUGAAAUGCUUAGAUAUGUUAUAGAACACCGAUUGCGAAGGCAGUCUGCUAAGCUGUUAUUGACGCUGAGGCACGAAAGCGUGGGGAGCAAACAGG